GUGUGCGUGCGUGCAUUGUAAUUGUUUUGCAGAUUGAGUGGAAAGCGACGAUAGGCAUAACGCGGUAGAGAUUCGCGCAUUUUGUUAUAUAAUGGGUUGAAAAAACUUUGAUCUCGCAAGGUUAUCACAAAAAUGAAGUGACAAAAAUUCUCUCCAGGGCGUGUGUUUAAAAUCUAAAAUCUACAACUAGUGAUGAUAAUACUGCUAUGCCAGUCAUUUGAUAUGGAACUUCUCUAUGCUACCUGGUUGACUAUGGGUGUACUCACUGGUUGAGAGUUUUGGUUAUGCUGAGUAUUCAGAGGUAUGGGUCUCCCAGAAUUACUGCAAUUAUCUGUAUGAGAAAAAUGAUGUACAAGCUGCAAAGAUGAAUCCUCUUGAGUGUUUGUCUUCUUUUCACUACAAUGAACUCCAAUACUGUAUGUAUGGUCAGGUUUCAAUUUUCUUGCAUUUUUCUCAGGCACAAGUUCGCUAUUACAAGCUGAAGGUUCUAAUUGUAACGUAUCACCAAGCAUGUUAGUGCUACGACCUGAGCUGUACGUGUGAUCAGAUUCGAUAUUGGGCUUGUUAGAAUCAGAUUGAAUCACUGAUGGUUUUUGACUGGAAUGUGAAGAUUUUACUUUCCUUUUACAAAGGCGAGAUUUUUUAGCAUGUGACCAAUAUGUGUGAUCUGGUUGUAACUGAUUUUUCUCAAUGCUAUUUGAAUGACACUUACUUUUGUUGCCAAAUGCAAGUGGGUUCGUUUCAUUCCCAUCAUUCAACUCCUGGCUGGCAUUGAAACAAUAUGUAUGAUCAGGUUUAUACUGUUGAUCAAAACUACAGUUACCUUUGGGCGAUACUGACUGUUCAUCAACCUGUUUUGUACCUGAGCAGCUUCUUGCACCUUCACUCGAAGGAACAGCUUUCAAUGAACAGCUUGAUUUUUGUUGAUCAGAAUUUUGUUUUGUGUGCAAUUCAAUAUGUUUGAUAAGUUCAUUUGAUUUUGUAAAUAUUUUUUUACAAUAUCCACAUUUAAAAGGAUUUUUCGUCAUGUGGCUUCCUGAAUGAUUUCCUAAAUGUGUACCUAAAUUACUCGAUGAUGUAAAAGACUUUUCACAAAGGUUACAUUGGAACAGUUUCUCAUCAGAAUGUACCCUCAUGUGUCUGCUUAGGUUGCUAUUAUGUGCAAAAAGUUUUUGACAAAAAGUGCAUUCAUAUAAGAAGUGUAUCUUUAAAUUCUUUGAAAGACCUUUGGAAUAAAAAAAUGGCUUCAAAAAACAUUUUUUACCAGAA
Octopus bimaculoides (California two-spot octopus) is the source of this 1269-nucleotide long non-coding RNA. RefSeq lists it as uncharacterized. The record is from RefSeq and is a predicted model, not a curated record. Lineage: Eukaryota; Metazoa; Mollusca; Cephalopoda; Octopoda; Octopodidae.